AACGAACGCUGGCGGCAUGCCUAACACAUGCAAGUCGAACGAGACCUUCGGGUCUAGUGGCGCACGGGUGCGUAACGCGUGGGAACCUGCCCUUAGGUUCGGAAUAACUCCCCGAAAGGGGUGCUAAUACCGGAUAAUGUCUUCGGACCAAAGAUUUAUCGCCUUUGGAUGGGCCCGCGUUGGAUUAGCUAGUUGGUAGGGUAAAAGCCUACCAAGGCGACGAUCCAUAGCUGGUCUGAGAGGAUGAACAGCCACACUGGGACUGAGACACGGCCCAGACUCCUACGGGAGGCAGCAGUGGGGAAUAUUGGACAAUGGGCGAAAGCCUGAUCCAGCAAUGCCGCGUGAGUGAUGAAGGCCUUAGGGUUGUAAAGCUCUUUUACCCGGGAUGAUAAUGACAGUACCGGGAGAAUAAGCUCCGGCUAACUCCGU
RNAcentral lists this ribosomal RNA (432 nucleotides) under uncultured bacterium. RNAcentral describes it as "partial 16S ribosomal RNA". It matches the Rfam family "Bacterial small subunit ribosomal RNA", at positions 29 to 506 of the family's 1533-position model. The record is from RNAcentral.